UGGGGAAUUUUCCGCAAUGGGCGAAAGCCUGACGGAGCAAUACCGCGUGAGGGAGGAAGGCCUUUGGGUUGUAAACCUCUUUUCUCAGGGAAGAAGAAAGUGACGGUACCUGAGGAAUCAGCAUCGGCUAACUCCGUGCCAGCAGCCGCGGUAAUACGAAAGGGGCUAGCGUUGUUCGGAAUUACUGGGCGUAAAGCGCGCGUAGGCGGCAUGCCAAGUUGGGGGUGAAAUCCCUGGGCUCAACCCAGGAACUGCCUCCAAAACUGGCAAGCUAGAGGAUGUGAGAGGAUAGUGGAAUUCCGAGUGUAGAGGUGAAAUUCGUAGAUAUUCGGAAGAACACCAGUGGCGAAGGCGACUGUCUGGCACAUUUCUGACGCUGAGGUGCGAAAGCGUGGGGAGCAAACAGGAUUAGAUACCCCCGUAGUCC
Molecule: ribosomal RNA, 427 nt
Filed under: uncultured prokaryote
Description: bacterial SSU rRNA
Rfam family: Bacterial small subunit ribosomal RNA
Source: RNAcentral